UUUGUUUUUUAAUUAAAAACUAGAAUGAAAGAUUUUACAUUUUAAUUUCUUUAUUAAAUAUAAUAUAUUAAUUUAUAUUAAAUAUAAAAAUAUAUUUAUAAAAUAAAAAGACGACAAGACCCUAUUAAAUUUUACUUAUUGUUUAGCUGGGGCAGCUUUUUAAAUAAAAUUUUAAAAUUUAUUAAUACAAUAAUACAUUUACAUUAAAAUUAAAAAAAAUCUAUUAUAAUUAAACUAAUCUAAUUACUAUAGGGAUAACAGCGUUAUAUUUUUUUCAAGUUCAUAUUUAAAAAAAUUAUUGCGACCUCGAUGUUGAAUUAUAUUUCUUUAUUAAUGCAACAAUUAUAAAAGUAGGUCUGUUCGACCUUUAAAAUAUUACAU
RNAcentral lists this ribosomal RNA (381 nucleotides) under Anelosimus vondrona. RNAcentral's name for it is "partial 16S ribosomal RNA". Lineage: Eukaryota; Metazoa; Arthropoda; Arachnida; Araneae; Theridiidae. The record is from RNAcentral.